GGCGAACCGGGAGAACUGAAACAUCUAAGUACCCCGAGGAAAAGAAAUCAACCGAGAUUCCCUCAGUAGCGGCGAGCGAACGGGGAUUAGCCCUUAAGCAUCUUGGAAGUUAGUGGAACGGUCCUGGAAAGGCCGGCGAUACAGGGUGAUAGCCCCGUACACGAAAACAACCUUGAUGUGAAAUCGAGUAGGGCGGGACACGUGACAUCCUGUCUGAAUAUGGGGGGACCAUCCUCCAAGGCUAAAUACUCCUGACUGACCGAUAGUGAACCAGUACCGUGAGGGAAAGGCGAAAAGAACCCCUGUGAGGGGAGUGAAAUAGAACCUGAAACCGUGUACGUACAAGCAGUGGGAGCCCUUCGGGGUGACUGCGUACCUUUUGUAUAAUGGGUCAGCGACUUACAUUUUGUAGCGAGGUUAACCGUAUAGGGGAGCCGUAGGGAAACCGAGUCUUAACUGGGCGUCUAGUUGCAAGGUGUAGACCCGAAACCGGGUGAUCUAGCCAUGGGCAGGUUGAAGGUUGAGUAACAUCAACUGGAGGACCGAACCCACUAACGUUGCAAAGUUAGGGGAUGACCUGUGGCUGGGGGUGAAAGGCCAAUCAAACUCGGAGAUAGCUGGUUCUCCCCGAAAGCUAUUUAGGUAGCGCCUCGGACGAAUACUACUGGGGGUAGAGCACUGUUUGGGCUAGGGGGUCAUCCCGACUUACCAACCCCAUGCAAACUCCGAAUACCAGUAAGUAAUAUCCGGGAGACACACGGCGGGUGCUAACGUCCGUCGUGAAGAGGGAAACAACCCAGACCGCCGGCUAAGGUCCCAAAGUUCUGGUUAAGUGGGAAACGAUGUGGGAAGGCUCAGACAGCUAGGAUGUUGGCUUAGAAGCAGCCAUCAUUUAAAGAAAGCGUAAUAGCUCACUAGUCGAGUCGGCCUGCGCGGAAGAUGUAACGGGGCUCAAACCAGGCACCGAAGCCGCGGAUUCACGCUAAGCGUGAGUGGUAGGGGAGCGU
RNAcentral lists this ribosomal RNA (1007 nucleotides) under Aeromonas hydrophila. RNAcentral's name for it is "partial 23S ribosomal RNA". It matches the Rfam family "Bacterial large subunit ribosomal RNA", at positions 178 to 1239 of the family's 2925-position model. Lineage: Bacteria; Pseudomonadati; Pseudomonadota; Gammaproteobacteria; Aeromonadales; Aeromonadaceae. The record is from RNAcentral.